RNAcentral lists this small RNA (276 nucleotides) under Arabidopsis thaliana (thale cress). Its description in RNAcentral is "ATSL112850". The record is from RNAcentral. Lineage: Eukaryota; Viridiplantae; Streptophyta; Magnoliopsida; Brassicales; Brassicaceae.
UAUCUAAACCAAAUUGAAAAUAUAUAUCCAAACCAAAAUGAAAUGAAAAAAUUGUUUCUAGUGGAAGCCCCAUUAGACCAAUGAUUGAUGUAGGGUUAAUUCAUGCUUCUAUUCAAGGCAUGCGGUUUGAGUUCUAGACAUUGCAAUUUAUUAACAAAAUUGUAGAUUAAUGAAAGCAAGUGUACAAAAGAUCUCUAACGAUGUACAAUUGAGCCGUUCACCGUGAUUCUAUGCAGAAAGGAAAGUGUAGUCAUGUCAUGGAUGAGCAAUUCUAAA